Molecule: ribosomal RNA, 754 nt
Filed under: Liolaemus lemniscatus
Lineage: Eukaryota; Metazoa; Chordata; Lepidosauria; Squamata
Description: partial 12S ribosomal RNA
Rfam family: Bacterial small subunit ribosomal RNA
Source: RNAcentral
GAGAAUGCCCUACAAAGUAGAAAGGAGCAGGUAUCAGGCACAACUAAUUAGCCCAAAACACCUUGCUACGCCACACCCACACGGGCACCCAGCAGUGAUAAAUAUUAAGCAAUAAGUAAGCAACCCACAUCAAGCUUGACUUAGUUAUGAUUAUCAGGGCCGGUCAACCUCGUGCCAGCCACCGCGGUUAUACGAAGGGCCCAAAACAGCAGACCCCGGCGUAAAUUAUGGCUAGAGAAACUACUUAUUUAACGGGAGAUAAACACUAAACCCAAUCGUAAAACCUGAGUUAAAAGAAACCCCUCCCCUCCCAAGAACAAAGUAACUUGAACCCAUGAAGGCUAAGAAACAAACUAGGAUUAGAUACCCUACUAUGCUUAGCUGUUAACACGACACAGCUUAACACUAGUGUCCGCCAGAGGAUUACGCGCGAAAAGCUUAAAACUCAAAGGACUUGGCGGUGCUCCGUAUUCGUAUUAGAGGAGCCUGUCCUAUAAUCGAUACUCCACGCUUUACCUCACCAUCUUUUGUCCUUCCAGCCUAUAUACCGCCGUCGCAAACUUACCCCGUGAGGGCAUAACAGUAAGUAAAACAGUAUAACACUAACACGUCAGGUCAAGGUGUAGCUUAUAAGAUGGAAGAGAUGGGCUACAUUUUCUAUUACAGAACAUACGGCAAAGGACAUUGAAACAUGCCCACAAAGGCGGAUUUAAUAGUAAGACAGAAAAGAAAGCCUGUCUUAAACUCGCUCCGG